AGGGUGUCACGGAAACCACCAAGAAAAAUGGGCCCCCGGCUCGCCUGGUCCUGUACUUCGACUCGCUCACCUACGAGCACAUUCGAUCGGUGCCUAAGUACGACGAGACCCGGGUACUGAGCAAUCUGGGUGGUAUCAGCGGCAUGUACCUGGGCCUGUCCUUCUUCGUUUUCUUCCAAGUGCUCGACAUCCUUGUUGUCGGGGCGCUGCGGCUCAGGAGGAUGCGGCACUGGGACGCACGCCAGCGCAUCCUGGUGGGGCUCGCAAGGCGAGGAGACGCCCGUACUUCCUCGCACAACUAGCCGACAGCAGGAAAAUUGCCGUCGUCGUGUUUGCGCCCUGUUCGCAUCUCACGCGGGCUAAGUGCAGAUAGGGUUCCCAAUAGUUCCAGUCAGCGCACUUUUAACUCACUCGCUGACCCAUAUUUCCUUAAAGGGAUACUGAACGAAAAUAUGAAAAAAUGCGGGAAGCAUCGAAAUUCAACUGGGAAGACGCGACUGUUCCGAUACGCAAUGUUUAAUUCACGUAUUUUUUAACGGAUGGCUGUUUUUUUUUUUCUUACAAAAUAAGUACAGUCGCCAAUCGAUUUUUCUUACAUAGAAAGGUCCGCAAAGUAUUCCUAAUUAUCGGGCAAUCAAUAAACGCAAAUUUGAAUGACAAAGCAAUUUGUUUUGCUGAAUUUGGGAGUCGGCGACGAACAAUACGGUUUCAUGCCACGUCGACGAUAUCUUCACAUCGGCGGUACGAAAAAGCUUGCAGCAGUAAUGUGCUUAAACCCCUUUCACACAAUUCUACAGACUUAGGACUUUAAGUCGGAGUUGGAUAUUUUGCUUAAUUGUAGCUGAGCUAAUCCUGCAUGGGAAUAAAUACAAUGUACCCAAUUGGGUACUAUGGGACCGAGGAGGUUAUGUUAAGAGCAUAGAAAGAUGACUGGAAAACAGGAAAUUAGGGUUUGAUUUAUCCUACAUGCGUAAUGGACAAAUGGUGCAACAGAAGGUCCCUGGACUGAUGUAUGCGGACGAGAUAGUGCUACUAGCGGACAAUACAAGAGAUUUACAGACACUUGUGAAUAUCUGUGACAACGCAGCGACAAAUGUAGGCCUUAAGAAUUUAGCACAGAAAAGUCAGCAAUUAUGAUCUUAAAUGAAGAGAUGAGCAAUUGCGUGGUGUCAACAGCAAGUCAUAACCAUAGUCAAGCAA
Dermacentor silvarum is the source of this 1200-nucleotide long non-coding RNA. RefSeq lists it as uncharacterized. The transcript has 3 exons. The record is from RefSeq and is a predicted model, not a curated record. Lineage: Eukaryota; Metazoa; Arthropoda; Arachnida; Ixodida; Ixodidae.